GAAAGGGAUGUUAAUACCGCCAUACGUCCUACGGGAGAAAAGCAGGGAUUUUCGGACCUUGCGCUAAUAGAUGAGCCUAAGUCGGAUUAGCUAGUUGGUGGGGUAAAGGCCUACCAAGGCGACGAUCUGUAGCGGGUCUGAGAGGAUGAUCCGCCACACUGGGACUGAGACACGGCCCAGACUCCUACGGGAGGCAGCAGUGGGGAAUAUUGGACAAUGGGGGGAACCCUGAUCCAGCCAUGCCGCGUGUGUGAAGAAGGCCUUAUGGUUGUAAAGCACUUUAAGCGAGGAGGAGGCUACUUUAGUUAAUACCUAGAGAUAGUGACGUACUCGCAGAAUAAGCACCGCA
Molecule: ribosomal RNA, 349 nt
Filed under: Acinetobacter sp. PAE2
Lineage: Bacteria; Pseudomonadati; Pseudomonadota; Gammaproteobacteria; Moraxellales; Moraxellaceae
Description: bacterial SSU rRNA
Rfam family: Bacterial small subunit ribosomal RNA
Source: RNAcentral